This 294-nucleotide unclassified non-coding RNA is filed under the name uncultured Ascomycota. RNAcentral's name for it is "sequence contains ITS1". Lineage: Eukaryota; Fungi; Ascomycota. The record is from RNAcentral.
GGGACUACUAGGGUAUCUAAUCCCGUUCGCUCCCCUAGCUUUCGCGCGUCAGCGUCAGGAACGAGCCAGAGAGUCGCUUUCGCCACCGGCGUUCCUCCUGAUAUCUACGCAUUUCACCGCUCCACCAGGAGUUCCACUCUCCCCUCUCGUCCUCCAGCGCGGCAGUUUCGGCUGCACUUCCUCGGUUGAGCCGAGGGAUUUCACAGUCGACUUGCCGCACCGCCUAGGCGCCCUUUAUGCCCAGUGAUUCCGAGCAACGCUUGCCACCUCCGUCUUACCGCGGCGGCUGGCACU